This 201-nucleotide non-coding RNA is filed under the name Caulobacter vibrioides. The record is from RNAcentral. Lineage: Bacteria; Pseudomonadati; Pseudomonadota; Alphaproteobacteria; Caulobacterales; Caulobacteraceae.
AGUGCAGCCGGCGCGACAGGUUCCUCCCAAAGAGGAUGAAAAGGGAACUCGGGUGUGAAACCCGGGCUGCCCCCGCAACUGUAAGCGGCGAGUUCGCGCGUCACAUGCCACUGGGACUGUUCUUCGGAAAAGACCUGGGAAGGCGACGCGCAGCAACGAUGACCCGCGAGCCAGGAGACCUGCCUGUCGCGGUCGUUUUUC